Rhinopithecus roxellana (golden snub-nosed monkey) is the source of this 216-nucleotide long non-coding RNA. RefSeq lists it as uncharacterized. The transcript is spliced from 3 exons. The record is from RefSeq and is a predicted model, not a curated record. Lineage: Eukaryota; Metazoa; Chordata; Mammalia; Primates; Cercopithecidae.
GAAAAUGAGAGGAGUGGCCAUCAUGAUUGAGAAGUGGGGCUCCAGAAAGUAAUUCUAUCCUAACCUCAAGGAUGUUUCAAGAGAAAAUAAUCCCUUAAUGUCUGUGCUAGAAGUCUGAGAGACUGGCGAAGCUUUGAGGAGCCUCAAGUUUUACCCACACCCUAGACAAGCCUGCCCACUGCACACCGUGUCAGUGCAUCUAGAUGCGCUUCUCAG